UACGUAGGGUGCAAGCGUUGUCCGGAAUUAUUGGGCGUAAAGAGCUCGUAGGCGGUUUGUCGCGUCUGCUGUGAAAACUCGGGGCUCAACUCCGAGCUUGCAGUGGGUACGGGCAGACUAGAGUGCGGUAGGGGAGACUGGAAUUCCUGGUGUAGCGGUGAAAUGCGCAGAUAUCAGGAGGAACACCGAUGGCGAAGGCAGGUCUCUGGGCCGAUACUGACGCUGAGGAGCGAAAGCGUGGGGAGCGAACAGG
This 253-nucleotide ribosomal RNA is filed under the name uncultured bacterium. Its description in RNAcentral is "partial 16S ribosomal RNA". It matches the Rfam family "Bacterial small subunit ribosomal RNA", at positions 524 to 776 of the family's 1533-position model. The record is from RNAcentral.